RNAcentral lists this ribosomal RNA (255 nucleotides) under uncultured bacterium. RNAcentral's name for it is "partial 16S ribosomal RNA". It matches the Rfam family "Bacterial small subunit ribosomal RNA", at positions 524 to 776 of the family's 1533-position model. The record is from RNAcentral.
CACGUAGGGGGCAAGCGUUUGUCCGGAUUUAUUGGGCGUAAAGAGCUCGUAGGCGGUUCGGUAAGUUGGGUGUGAAACCUCCAGGCUCAACCUGGAGACGCCACCCGAUACUGCUGUGACUAGAGUCCGGUAGGGGAGCGUGGAAUUCCUGGUGUAGCGGUGAAAUGCGCAGAUAUCAGGAGGAACACCAGCGGCGAAGGCGGCGCUCUGGGCCGGAACUGACGCUGAGGAGCGAAAGCGUGGGUAGCAAACAGG